ACGCAGGGCUCCGCGGCGCCU
This 21-nucleotide unclassified non-coding RNA is filed under the name Mus musculus (house mouse). Its description in RNAcentral is "oocyte_clustered_small_RNA178". Lineage: Eukaryota; Metazoa; Chordata; Mammalia; Rodentia; Muridae. The record is from RNAcentral.